GGACUACUCGGGUUUCUAAUCCCGUUCGCUACCCUAGCUUUCGUUCCUCAGCGUCAGAAAAUAUCCAGUAAGCCGCCUUCGCCACCGGUGUUCCAGAUGAUAUCAAUGCAUUUCACCGCUCCACCAUCUGUUCCGCUUACCCCUAUAUCCCUCAAGCCUUACGGUUUGGGGCGCAAUUCCUCGGUUGAGCCGAGGGCUUUCACACCCCACCUGCAAAGCCGCCUACGAACUCUUUAAGCCCAGUGAUACCGAAUAACGUUUGGAGAGCUCGUCUUACCGCGGCUGCUGGCACG
RNAcentral lists this unclassified non-coding RNA (293 nucleotides) under uncultured fungus. RNAcentral's name for it is "sequence contains ITS1". The record is from RNAcentral. Lineage: Eukaryota; Fungi.